CAAAGGUUUGGUCCUGGCCUUACUAACAAUUUUAACUAAACUUACACAUGCAAGUAUCCGCACCCCUGUGAGAAUGCCCUACAGUUCCCUGCCCGGGAACAAGGAGCUGGUAUCAGGCACGAUUCCCAUUAGCCCACAACACCUUGCUUAGCCACACCCCCAAGGGAACUUCAGCAGUGAUAAACAUUAAGCCAUAAGUGAAAACUUGACUUAGUUAAAGAUAAGAGGGUCGGUAAAACUCGUGCCAGCCACCGCGGUUAUACGAGAGACCCAAGUUGUUAGACACCGGCGUAAAGUGUGGUUAAGAUUCUAAUACAAAGCUAAAGCCGAACAUCUUCAAAGCUGUUAUACGCACCCGAAGGUAAGAAGACCAAUUACGAAGGUAGCUUUAACUCUAUCCGACUCCACGAAAGCCAGGAAACAAACUGGGAUUAGAUACCCCACUAUGCCUGGCCCUAAACAUUGAUAGCAUAAUUCACCAGCUAUCCGCCCGGGUACUACGAGCAUUAGCUUAAAACCCAAAGGACUUGGCGGUGCUUUAGAUCCACCUAGAGGAGCCUGUUCUAGAACCGAUAACCCCCGUUCAACCUCACCCUCCCUUGUCUUACCCGCCUAUAUACCACCGUCGUCAGCUUACCCUGUGAAGGCCCUACAGUAAGCAUAAUUGGCAUAGCCCAAAACGUCAGGUCGAGGUGUAGCGUAUGAGAGGGGAAGAAAUGGGCUACAUUCACUAUCACAGUGUAUACGGAUAACAUAAUGAAACUUAUAAUUGAAGGAGGAUUUAGCAGUAAGCAGAAAAUAGAGUGUUCUGCUGAAUUUGGCCCUGAAGCGCGCACACACCGCCCGUCACUCUCCCCGAGCUUGAUUAUAUAAAAUUACUUAAAUAACUAAAAUUGCAAAGGGGAGGCAAGUCGUAACAUGGUAAGUGUACCGGAAGGUGUACUUGGCAAAAC
RNAcentral lists this non-coding RNA (953 nucleotides) under Hapalogenys nigripinnis (short barbeled grunter). RNAcentral describes it as "12S ribosomal RNA". It matches the Rfam family "Bacterial small subunit ribosomal RNA". The record is from RNAcentral. Lineage: Eukaryota; Metazoa; Chordata; Actinopteri; Lobotiformes; Hapalogenyidae.